This 2314-nucleotide long non-coding RNA is filed under the name Lynx pardinus (Iberian lynx). Lineage: Eukaryota; Metazoa; Chordata; Mammalia; Carnivora; Felidae. The record is from RNAcentral.
ACUCUGAGACACUUACCAAAUGGAUGUUUAGCAACAAUUGGCUCUGAUUUCAGGCCUUCUCCUACACCAUAUUUAUUUUCGGCACUGACCCUGAAGGUGUAUUCCAUGCCCUCAUGAAGUCUGGUUACUCUAAAGGUAGUUUUCUGAACAGCAGAGGCACAUGUCACCCACUUGUUGUUUACAGAAUCUCUCUUCUCUAGGAUAUAGUUGGUGAUUUCAGAACCUCCGUCAUCUUUUGGAGGACCCCACUUUAAGGUCAUGGCUUCUGCUGUGACUUCAUCAAAUUUGAUUGGCCCGGUGGGGAUGCCAGGCUUGCCAACAACUUUUAUAGAGAGAGUUCCUUCCUUGGUGCCAGCAACAUUCUUUAGUGUGAUUGUAUAUUUUCCAGCAUCAGAUUUUUGGCAAUCAUAUACCACAAGAGUUGUGUUAACGGCAGAUGACUCAACACUGACUCUUGUGUCAGUUGCUAGAGGAUCUUCCCCUUUCUUCCAGGAUACAGAUGGAACCGGCUUGCCUUUUAUGGGGAUCUUAAGACGGAAGUUGCUGUUUUCUUUUGCCAAGUAGCACAAGUCAGGUAUAUCCUUUAAGUCAAGGUCCGGAGCCACUGUAAAACAGCAGAGAUAAAUUAUUGUUAUUUUUCAGACCAGGCAAUUAAUUUUUUCAGAUCAUUAUAAUUUGUAAAGGGUGUUUAUAUAAGCCAGUGAGUAGGGCUCAAGCAUGCACUUUUGAUGACAAUAAAGGGAAAAUGAAGAUGCAUGGCUUACAAACAUCAUCCUUUGCCACAGCACUGAUUUCACUUGGGGUUCCUUCUCCAUUUUCAUUCUCAGCACUCACUCUGAAGGUAUAUUCCUUCCCUUCACUCAGAUCUUUUGCAGAAUAUUGUAAGCUUAAUGAUUUCAUAACACGUUGCCACUUAUUAUCUUCAGUCAGGAAAUCCACUACAUAUCCGAUAAUUCGACUUCCACCAUCACUGUGAGGCUUUUUCCAGCCUAUGCUACAAGAUGACUUAGUUACAGACCUCACUUUCAGGUCCACAACUGGUCCAGGGGUUUCUAAAGCAAAGAAAACAUGAUAAGUCUAAGCCCCAGAUAACUACGGUAAGAGGUCACUCAAAAUGAUGGGGAAGUCGCUCAUAUGCUUACGGGAAGCUUUGACGGCAUCACGUGUUUCACCAGGAUCACCGAUGCCAUACUCAUUUUCAGCAAACACCCUGAAGAAGUAGGAUUUUCCCUCUUCCAAGUUAGAUACUCUGAAGCUUGUUUUUGAGCACUCAGUUGUCACUGUUGACCAGGACUUCCUCUCCGCGUCACGUUUUUCUACCACAUAGUUUAUGAUGGGACUUCCACCAUCAACAAUGGGAGGAUCCCAAGUAAUAUAGGCAGAAUCUUUGGAUAUUUCCUUAACAGUCACAUUGACAGGUGGCCCGGGAGUAUCUGGAUAAAGAGUGGGUAUAUAAGAAAGGAAUAUGUAAAAAAUACAUAAGCUACAUUUUUAGCGUAUGAUUUUUUUUUCAAACAGACUUACCAAGCACUUUCACUACAAUGGUAUACUCCUUUUUACCACAGCUGUUCUCCAGAGUCAAGAUAUAUUUUCCUGCAUCAUAUUUGUUCACAUUUUCACAGCGCAAGAAAGUGUCAAAGUCCGUUGACUUUAUAUCAAGUCCAAUCCUUUCUCUUAGAUUGACGUUUGGUUUAGACCAAGUUAUCUUUGGAGGUGGACGUCCUUUUACUGGUACAUACAGUCUCAUUGUAACUCCAGCACGUAAUAUGAGUGUUUUUCUCAAAUCCGCGUCAAGUUCUCCCUCAGGUGGAACUGUUUAAAGUUAAUAAUUUAAUGGUCAAACGUAUUUCUAAGGACUAGCCUUAUCAUUCCUAAAAUAUGUUUCUUUCUCACAACUGAUUUCUUGGUCUUUUUUUUUUUUAAUGUUUAUUUAUUUUUGAGACAGAGACAGAGCACGAAUGGGGGAGAGGUAGAGAGAGAGAGGGAGACACAGAAUCUGAAGAAGGCUCCAGGCUCUGAGCUGUCAGCACAGAGCCCGACGCAGGGCUUGAACUCACGGACCGUGAGAUCAUGACCUGAGCCAAAGUCGGACGCUUAACUGACUGAGCCACCCAGGCGCCCCUGAUUUCUUGGUCUUUAAAAAAUCCUCAAAACUUUUAUCAACUAUUUCAGUACUCUAUAGUUAUUGUUGAUCUUUCUAUAUUCUAAUAUCCUGUAGGCUAAAUCAAGUUUUUCCUGGAGAACCUGUACUUUCUCUUCUCAUGAACCUUCCAUAUUCUCAGACUCUCUCUAUAUUAAAUGUAGAUAAUUGAUU